Molecule: ribosomal RNA, 162 nt
Filed under: Larix decidua
Lineage: Eukaryota; Viridiplantae; Streptophyta; Pinopsida; Pinales; Pinaceae
Description: 5.8S ribosomal RNA
Rfam family: 5.8S ribosomal RNA
About the family: 5.8S ribosomal RNA (5.8S rRNA) is a component of the large subunit of the eukaryotic ribosome. It is transcribed by RNA polymerase I as part of the 45S precursor that also contains 18S and 28S rRNA.
Source: RNAcentral
GAAAUGACUCUCGGCAACGGAUAUCUUAGCUCUCGUUACGAUGAAGAACGUAGCAAAAUGCAAUACUUAGUGUGAAUUGCAGAAUCCCGUGAAUCAUCGAGUUUUUGAAUGUAAUUUGUGCCUGAGACCUCGGUCGAGGGCACGUUUGUCUGGGCGUCGCAU